Molecule: ribosomal RNA, 460 nt
Filed under: uncultured bacterium
Lineage: Bacteria
Description: partial 16S ribosomal RNA
Rfam family: Bacterial small subunit ribosomal RNA
Source: RNAcentral
CCUACGGGUGGCAGCAGUGAGGAAUAUUGGUCAAUGGGCGAGAGCCUGAACCAGCCAAGUCGCGUGAAGGAUGACGGCCCUACGGGUUGUAAACUUCUUUUGUCAGGACGCAAUUGGGUCCACGCGUUGGCUUAGCUAGAGUACCUGAUGAAAAAGCAUCGGCUAACUCCGUGCCAGCAGCCGCGGUAAUACGGAGGCUGCGAGCGUUAUCCGGAUUGAUUGGGUUAAAAGGGUGCGUAGGCGGAAUAUCAAGUCAGCGGUAAAAAUUCGGGGCUCAACCCCGUCGUGCCGUUGAAACUGAUGUUCUUGAGUGCGCGAGAGGUAUGCGGAAUGCGUGGUGUAGCGGUGAAAUGCAUAGAUAUCACGCAGAACUCCGAUUGCGAAGGCAGCAUACCGGCGCCCAACUGACGCUGAAGCACGAAAGCGUGGGUAGCGAACAGGAUUAGAUACCCCGGUAGUC